RNA transcript from Selaginella moellendorffii, 2378 nucleotides. It is a transcript of the gene named probable sugar phosphate/phosphate translocator At3g14410, with no coding region annotated. NCBI's taxonomy places the organism in Eukaryota, Viridiplantae, Streptophyta, Lycopodiopsida, Selaginellales, Selaginellaceae. The record is from RefSeq and is a predicted model, not a curated record. The transcript has 11 exons.
UAGUUUUUGUUUGCGAUGGAGAAGGAUGCUUUGGCGCCUCGCGAGGCGCCGGCGAUGCAGCGGAAGAGGAUCGCAUUCGCGAGCUACAUGUACAUUCUUCUCUACAUUGUGAUUUCCAGCGGCCAGAUCUUCUUCAACAAGUGGCUGCUGUCUUCCAACCAUUUCAAUUUCCCAUUCCCGGUGUCUCUCACGCUCAUACACAUGGUGUUCUCAUCGGUGCUUUGCUUCGUUGUGAUCCAUGUCUUUAAGCUAGUGCCCCUGCCUCAAGGAAUGACUUUGGAAAUAUACGCUACCUCGGUUUUUCCCAUCGGAGCAAUGUUUGCGAUGACUUUGUGGCUCGGGAACUCGGCCUACCUUUAUAUCUCCGUGGCUUUUGCUCAGAUGCUGAAAGCCAUAAUGCCCGUUUCCGUUUUUCUCCUUGGAGCCGCAUUUGGUCUUGAAAGUCUUACUCUUCGCAUGAUGUUCAUCAUGUCGGUAAUAAGCUUCGGUGUGCUGGUUGCAUCUUACGGCGAGAUCAACUUCAACUGGAUUGGAGUGAUUUAUCAGCUUGGCGGGGUUGUUGGGGAGUCAAUGCGGCUCAUACUGAUCGAGAUCAUGCUGAAGAGGAAGGGAUUGAAGCUAGAUCCUCUGACGAUGAUGUACUACGUGAGUCCUUGCAGCGCGUUUUGCCUCUUCAUACCCUGGUUGUUGCUAGAGAAGCCGAAGAUGGACAGCUCAACGCACUGGAACUUUGAUGUCGUUGUUGUGUCUCUCAACGCCCUGUGCACCUUUGCGCUCAACAUCUCCGUGUUUCUGGUGAUAUCGUCUACGAGCGCGCUCACUAUCCGUGUGGCUGGCGUUGUGAGAGAUUGGAUAGUUGUGCUGGUCUCUGGACUAGUAUUCCUAGACACGACACUUACUCCCAUCAACAUCAUUGGCUAUGUUAUCGCUAUCUUUGGCGUUGUGAUGUACAACAAACACAAACUCAAACCAGUACAGGCAGCCUCGCAAGAGGAAUUACUUCCAGUGUUACAAGGAAAGUGAACACGACUAUAUUCAAGGCAAGGAAAACACAAACAACAACGCAAAAAGAGAGCGAAAGAAGAGUGAGAGGCAGUAGGGUGAAUGUGUUGCCGUUGUCAUGAAGAAUCCGAUCAUCGUUGUCGUCUUUUAGUAACUCGAAGGUACGGUGUCGGUGCUCAACUUGCUCGCGGAAACUACUGAAAUUGUGUGCUUGCAGGGACUUGCGCGUUGGUUGUCUUUUAGGAAAGCAUUUUUUAGCCGGAACUGCAAGCGAUUAAACUAAUAUCCUGAAGGGUAACGCGGUCGAGUUUAAUUUGCGCUUGCAGGUCGCCCGAAAAGCAAUCGAUAAAGUUAUCUGUUUUGUUGUAUAGUGCUUGUUUUUCUCUCGGCUUGCCUUUCGAAGGGCCGGACGCUGCAACCAGAUCAAAUGUGCACUUUGGUGGUCUGUAUCUAUAAGGAGGACACAAAGGAAACAACCACAGUCAAGGACAAUAGCGGCUCCAAACUCUCAAGAAAGCAUUGUACCGAGUGAGCGUGGAGUCCAGCUCUGUGCAAGCCACAACACCAAGAUAAGUCGAAAAAGGACGACGGAAGAAGGAAUGCUGUUACGAUGCUCAAGAGGGGGUGCUCUGCAAGCAAACUUUUGGAGAGAUUUCCUUAUAUUGGGAAGAUCCCGCUUGUUGGUCCCUGACACAAGAAUGUGGUGGACGGUCAAGCAGGAUCUAAGCAGUGAUCUUCUCGCAUUUUAGAGCGCUGCAGCACGCAGAGAUCUCUUAUGUGGACGGAGAGAAGCCACGGAGGUAUCCGGAGGUACAAAGUCGAGGCUUUGCUGGAAAUGGUCGAAGAUACGAAAGAAGUGCGCCAAAAGCCCAGAGUUUUCCGCUACCUCAGGCAAGUAACCGACAGGCAGCCUUUCUCUUUUGACGCUGGCGUCCCUUCCAUUUCGCAUUAAAGUCUGAGAGAUGCUUGUUGGCCGGGGUGAUUCCAGGAUUUUCUCAGCGCCUUAAGUUACUCCCUGGGGAUUGAAAUGGAUUGAGAGCAACUUGGCGACGAGAAAUCAAAUCAAACCAGCGACAGGGUCGGCAGGAACGCAGGGAUGUCUGAUCUGAUGGCCCUGGGCUGCUGCUCCAAAGGUACUUGGAGCUCGCUCCUCUCACUUUCACUUUCCCUCUCUCUCUCUUCUACACUGUUUCCCAGCUAGAAAACUCUCUCCUUUUCCGCCUUGCGUGCGUGGAAUCAGAGGAGAAAAGAGGAAUGGGGGCCCCGAGGAGGGACCGACGAGUCCCCGCCCUCCACAGUGGAAGAAAAAGAAAGGCAUUGUUUUUGGUGACAACGACACUAAUCACCAAGUACAAUAAUGAAAGGCAAUUCUUCCA